Molecule: unclassified non-coding RNA, 334 nt
Filed under: soil metagenome
Description: partial contains 5.8S ribosomal RNA, internal transcribed spacer 2, and large subunit ribosomal RNA
Rfam family: 5.8S ribosomal RNA (bases 1-120)
Source: RNAcentral
GAUGAAGAACGCAGCGAAAUGCGAUAAGUAAUGUGAAUUGCAGAAUUCAGUGAAUCAUCGAAUCUUUGAACGCACAUUGCGCCCGCCAGUAUUCUGGCGGGCAUGCCUGUUCGAGCGUCAUUUCAACCAUCAAGCCCUGCUUGCGUUGGGGUCCUGCGGCUGCCCGCAGGCCCUGAAAACCAGUGGCGGGCUCGCUAGUCACACCGAGCGCAGUAAUACAUCUCGCUUUGGGCGUGCGGCGGGUUCUUGCCGUUAAACACCCCCUUUGUACCAAGGUUGACCUCGGAUCAGGUAGGAAUACCCGCUGAACUUAAGCAUAUCAAUAAGCGGAGGA